This 22-nucleotide microRNA is filed under the name Gekko japonicus. Its description in RNAcentral is "Gja-Mir-15-P1b_5p (mature (guide))". The record is from RNAcentral. Lineage: Eukaryota; Metazoa; Chordata; Lepidosauria; Squamata; Gekkonidae.
UAGCAGCACAUCAUGAAUUGUA